Molecule: long non-coding RNA, 548 nt
Organism: Suricata suricatta (meerkat)
Lineage: Eukaryota; Metazoa; Chordata; Mammalia; Carnivora; Herpestidae
Exons: 3
Source: RefSeq, a predicted model, not a curated record
GUGGUCGUACAGCAGGGGGCCAUACAGCGUGGACGCUCAGUAAAGUCACUUGCUUUGGUGGGCCCGGAGUUUCUAGAACACGGCAGUAAGCUCUAGACGUGUGGCAGCCUCGUGUGACCAUUUCAAUGUCAAAGGGACUCCAGUCUGCCUCUCCGUUGGAAAAGAACGUUUUCCCUCUUUUUGCAACUAAAGGAUGAUUUGGGGGGAUCCGAUCAUUUCUAGAUUGUGGAUUUGCUGAGCGGUGCCCAAGGCCAUCCCUCUGUAGGGCGCUCCACGAAACAGGGAGCAAAGGAUUUCAGCUUCCCGGCCACCGUGGAGCCGAACGCCAGUAUAUGUGCUGCCGAAGCGAGCACGACGUGGAGCUUCGGAGCAGAGCUAUUUAAAGCUGAAAAGAUAAGGCACUUUGCAGUUAGGUUAAAUUGAGAUAACUGCAUUGAACAGGAUUUUUCUAGAGCGAUAUACAAAUGAAUAUCUUCUACCAUCAGGCUUUCUUGGAGUGUCUGUAAUAAAACUCUCAGAUAUUGACGAAUUUAAACGCCCAAAUAUUG